UUCAAAGCUGAAGCCAGAUGGCUGGCGAUUGCCCGAGUGAAUACGGAUAGAACUUUUAGUUCCACGGUGUUCUUUGAUAAUAUGAAGUUCAUCUGGGGAUUGGCUCAACCGCCGAAAUUCCGUGAGGCAUGAGAAAAUCUAGUAUUUAUCAUCCAACUUUUCUGUCUAGGGGACUGGAGGAAGGUCGUGCACGGAGGACCUUGGCUCUUCAGGGGCCUAGGAGUGAUCAUUGAGGAUUAUGACGGCAAGACGGAUCCUGAAGCAGUGGUGUUGGAUGGCUUGUAUGUAUGGGCCCAAAUACACAAGAUCCCGGAUGUUUAUCGCCAGCAACCAGUGGUUGAUCAGCUAGCCCGAAGGAUUGGUAAAGUACGUGAAGUUCAGAUGCGACCAACCCUCUACUAUGAGGGAGACUAUGUUCGCGUUUGUGCUAGGGUUCUUACCACCAAACCCUUAACUCGUUUUACUCCUCUUACGAUGGUGGACGAGGGCACACGCAUGUUGAUCGUUAAAUAUGAGAAGAUCCCUUUCUUCUGUCAGAUUUGCGGUUUUAUGGGCCACAGGUAUGCUGAAUGCGGCAAUGGCGUGUGGAGAGAGGAGGACAAAAAGUGGGGCAAAUGGAUGAUUGCUAAACGCCACACAACGCAUUACUCUCAGCCUUUCGGAGGAAAUUUUUCUGCUCGGGGCGGUAGGGGGCAAGGUCGUGGCGGCACUGCAGGCCGUGGGUACGUCCCAGCUCGCGGAUGUGGUGAGGGUACGGAACCGACGAGUAGAAGCACUACUCAUGUAGCAAGAGUGAACGAUAACAGGGGAAAACAAUUGAUGCACAUGUGGACAGCAGCGGAGAAAAUGCAGAUACUGAAUAUGCACGCACAAGUGAACCAAUACCCGGCACAGUUACAGACCAGGGUGAAUGGGAGAAUCAGGGAAAAACAACUGAUGUACUUGUGA
RNAcentral lists this ribosomal RNA (948 nucleotides) under Triticum aestivum (bread wheat). RNAcentral describes it as "partial small subunit ribosomal RNA". Lineage: Eukaryota; Viridiplantae; Streptophyta; Magnoliopsida; Poales; Poaceae. The record is from RNAcentral.